Molecule: ribosomal RNA, 481 nt
Filed under: uncultured Oxalobacteraceae bacterium
Lineage: Bacteria; Pseudomonadati; Pseudomonadota; Betaproteobacteria; Burkholderiales; Oxalobacteraceae
Description: partial 16S ribosomal RNA
Source: RNAcentral
CACGUAGUUAGCCGGUGCUUAUUCUUCAGGUACCGUCAUGAGGACCAGAUAUUAGCCAAUCCCUUUUCUUCCCUGACAAAAGAGCUUUACAACCCGAAGGCCUUCUUCACUCACGCGGCAUUGCUGGAUCAGGCUUGCGCCCAUUGUCCAAAAUUCCCCACUGCUGCCUCCCGUAGGAGUCUGGACCGUGUCUCAGUUCCAGUGUGGCUGGUCGUCCUCUCAGACCAGCUACUGAUCGAUGCCUUGGUAGGCUUUUACCCUACCAACUAGCUAAUCAGAUAUCGGCCGCUCCAGGAGCAUGAGGUCUUGCGAGCCCCCAUUUCAUCCUUGGAUCGUAUGCGGUAUUAGCGUAACUUUCGCUACGUUAUCCCCACUCUUGGGUACGUUCCGAUAUAUUACUCACCCGUUCGCCACUCGCCACCAGAGCAAGCUCCGUGCUGCCGUUCGACUUGCAUGUGUAAGGCAUGCCGCCAGCGUUCAA